RNAcentral lists this ribosomal RNA (1222 nucleotides) under metagenome. RNAcentral describes it as "bacterial LSU rRNA". It matches the Rfam family "Bacterial large subunit ribosomal RNA", at positions 1714 to 2925 of the family's 2925-position model. The record is from RNAcentral.
CCCUCAAAAUACCCCCGUAACUUCGGGAGAAGGGGGGCCCAGAGGGUGACGGGACUUCUCCCCGAGCCUGAACGGCCGCAGAGACCAGGGAGAAGCGACUGUUUACUAAAAACACAGGUCCGUGCCAAGUCGCAAGACGAUGUAUACGGACUGACGCCUGCCCGGUGCUGAACGUUAAGGGGACCGGUUAGCCUCACGGCGAAGCUGAGAACUUAAGCGCCAGUAAACGGCGGUGGUAACUAUAACCAUCCUAAGGUAGCGAAAUUCCUUGUCGGGUAAGUUCCGACCUGCACGAAUGGCGUAACGACUUCUCCACUGUCUCAACCACGAACUCGGCGAAAUUGCACUACGAGUAAAGAUGCUCGUUACGCGCAGAAGGACGGAAAGACCCCGGGACCUUUAUUACAGCUUGGUAUUGGUGUUCGGUACGGCUUGUGUAGGAUAGGUGGGAGACUGUGAAGCUGACACGCCAGUGUCGGUGGAGUCAACGUUGAAAUACCACUCUGGUCGCUCUGGAUAUCUAACCUAGGUCCGUAAUCCGGAUCAGGGACAGUGCCUGGUGGGUAGUUUAACUGGGGCGGUUGCCUCCUAAAAGGUAACGGAGGCGCCCAAAGGUUCCCUCAGCCUGGUUGGCAAUCAGGUUUCGAGUGUAAGUGCACAAGGGAGCUUGACUGUGAGACUGACAAGUCGAACAGGGACGAAAGUCGGGACUAGUGAUCCGGCGGUGGCUUGUGGAAGCGCCGUCGCUCAACGGAUAAAAGGUACCCCGGGGAUAACAGGCUGAUCUUGCCCAAGAGUCCAUAUCGACGGCAUGGUUUGGCACCUCGAUGUCGGCUCGUCGCAUCCUGGGGCUGGAGUAGGUCCCAAGGGUUGGGCUGUUCGCCCAUUAAAGCGGUACGCGAGCUGGGUUUAGAACGUCGUGAGACAGUUCGGUCCCUAUCCUCUGCGCGCGCAGGAAACUUGAGAAGGGCUGUCCCUAGUACGAGAGGACCGGGAUGGACGAACCUCUGGUAUGUCAGUUGUUCUGCCAAGAGCACCGCUGAUUAGCUACGUUCGGGAGUGAUAACCGCUGAAAGCAUCUAAGCGGGAAGCAUGCUUCAAGAUGAGGUUUCCAUGGGGUUUACCCCGAGAGGCUCCCAGCUAGACUACUGGGUUGAUAGGCCGGAUGUGGAAGUGCGGUAACGCAUGGAGCUGACCGGUACUAAUAAGCCGAUAACUUGAC